RNAcentral lists this ribosomal RNA (568 nucleotides) under uncultured Glomeromycotina. RNAcentral's name for it is "SSU rRNA". It matches the Rfam family "Eukaryotic small subunit ribosomal RNA", at positions 548 to 1114 of the family's 1831-position model. Lineage: Eukaryota; Fungi; Glomeromycota. The record is from RNAcentral.
UUGGAGGGCAAGUCUGGUGCCAGCAGCCGCGGUAAUUCCAGCUCCAAUAGCGUAUAUUAAAGUUGUUGCAGUUAAAAAGCUCGUAGUUGAAUUUCGGGAUCCAUCCGUCGGUCGGGCUUCACGGUCCGCACUGGUGUGAUGGAUUCCUACCUUCUGAAUAACCAGCAUGCUAUUAAUUUGGUGCGUUGGGGAAGCAGGACUGUUACCUUGAAAAAAUUAGAGUGCUUAAAGCAGGCUAGUGCCUGAAUACAUUAGCAUGGAAUAAUGAAAUAGGACGGCAUGGUUCUAUUUUGUUGGUUUCUAGGAUCACCGUAAUGAUUAAUAGGGAUAGUUGGGGGCAUUAGUAUUCAAUUGUCAGAGGUGAAAUUCUUGGAUUUAUUGAAGACUAACUUCUGCGAAAGCAUUUGCCAAGGAUGUUUUCAUUAAUCAAGAACGAAAGUUAGGGGAUCGAAGACGAUCAGAUACCGUCGUAGUCUUAACCAUAAACUAUGCCGACUAGGGAUCGGACGAUGUUAAUUUUUUAAUGACUCGUUCGGCGCCUUACAGGGAAACCAAAGUGUUUGGGUUC